GUGGUACCAAGAAAGAGAAAGAUGGAGAGGAUAAAAAGAGGAACCCCAUCCUGAAGUACAUCGGCAAACCUCGGACCACAUCCCAGUCCACAUUCCAUGUCCCCUUGUCACCCACCGAAGUCCGUCCUGGCAGUGUGAGGAACAUCAUUCAGCAGUUUGAGAAUCACACGGAGACGGGAGAGGAGGGAGGGGACGCCGCUGACCCCCAGAGGCUCUCCACCAGCAGCCUGGGAGAAGACAGCAU
Molecule: non-coding RNA, 244 nt
Organism: Plectropomus leopardus (leopard coralgrouper)
Lineage: Eukaryota; Metazoa; Chordata; Actinopteri; Perciformes; Serranidae
Source: RefSeq, a predicted model, not a curated record